GAUGAACGCUGGCGGCGUGCCUAAUACAUGCAAGUCGAACGCUGGAGAUCUAGCUUGCUAGAUCGAAGGAGUGGCGAACGGGUGAGUAAUACAUAAGCAACCUACCCACGAAGACUGGGAUAAUCUCUGGAAACGGGGACUAAUACCGGAUAGGUAAUCGGAAGGCAUCUUCUGGUUAUUAAAGGUUAAAAACACUGGUGGAUGGGCUUAUGGCGCAUUAGUUAGUUGGUGAGGUAACGGCCCACCAAGACGAUGAUGCGUAGCCGGCCCGAGAGGGUGAACGGCCACAUUGGGACUGAGACACGGCCCAGACUCCUACGGGAGGCAGCAGUAGGGAAUUUUCGGCAAUGGGGGCAACCCUGACCGAGCAACGCCGCGUGAGUGAAGACGGCCUUCGGGUUGUAAAGCUCUGUUGUAAGGGAAGAACGGUAGAUAGAGAAUAUCUAAGUGACGGUACCUUACCAGAAAGCCACGGCUAACUACGUG
RNAcentral lists this ribosomal RNA (486 nucleotides) under uncultured bacterium. Its description in RNAcentral is "partial 16S ribosomal RNA". It matches the Rfam family "Bacterial small subunit ribosomal RNA", at positions 28 to 507 of the family's 1533-position model. The record is from RNAcentral.